GCGCCGCUAGCUCAACGGAUAGAGCAUCUGACUACGGAUCAGAAGGUUGGGGGUUCGAAUCCCUCGCGGCGCACCA
Molecule: transfer RNA, 76 nt
Filed under: Glycomyces rutgersensis
Lineage: Bacteria; Bacillati; Actinomycetota; Actinomycetes; Glycomycetales; Glycomycetaceae
Also listed under: 21 other names
Description: tRNA-Arg
Rfam family: tRNA
About the family: Transfer RNA (tRNA) molecules are approximately 80 nucleotides in length. Their secondary structure includes four short double-helical elements and three loops (D, anti-codon, and T loops).
Source: RNAcentral